AGUGAACGCUGGCGGUAGGCCUAACACAUGCAAGUCGAACGGCAGCACAGUAAGAGCUUGCUCUUACGGGUGGCGAGUGGCGGACGGGUGAGGAAUACAUCGGAAUCUACUUUUUCGUGGGGGAUACGUAGGGAAACUUACGCUAAUACCGCAUACGACCUACGGGUGAAAGCAGGGGAUCUUCGGACCUUGCGCGAUUGAAUGAGCCGAUGUCGGAUUAGCUAGUUGGCGGGGUAAAGGCCCACCAAGGCGACGAUCCGUAGCUGGUCUGAGAGGAUGAUCAGCCACACUGGAACUGAGACACGGUCCAGACUCCUACGGGAGGCAGCAGUGGGGAAUAUUGGACAAUGGGCGCAAGCCUGAUCCAGCCAUACCGCGUGGGUGAAGAAGGCCUUCGGGUUGUAAAGCCCUUUUGUUGGGAAAGAAAAGCAGCAGGUUAAUAACCCGCUGUUCUGACGGUACCCAAAGAAUAAGCACCGGCUAACUUCGUG
This 491-nucleotide ribosomal RNA is filed under the name uncultured bacterium. Its description in RNAcentral is "partial 16S ribosomal RNA". It matches the Rfam family "Bacterial small subunit ribosomal RNA", at positions 29 to 507 of the family's 1533-position model. The record is from RNAcentral.